Molecule: non-coding RNA, 112 nt
Organism: Triticum aestivum (bread wheat)
Lineage: Eukaryota; Viridiplantae; Streptophyta; Magnoliopsida; Poales; Poaceae
Source: Rfam
GAAAUACUCCCUCCGUCCGGAAAUACUUGUCAGAGGAAUGAAUGUAUCUAGAUACAUACAUUCAUUUUGAUGCAUUUUUGCGACAAGUAUUUCUGGACUGAGGGAGUAAAAU